AUUGAACGCUGGCGGCAGGCCUAACACAUGCAAGUCGAGCGAGCGGCGGACGGGUGAGUAAUGCUUGUGAAUUGCCCAGUCGAGGGGGAUAACAGUUGGAAACGACUGCUAAUACCGCAUACGAUUGGAUUGCCCAUGUGGGAUUAGCUAGUUGGUGAGGUAAUUGGUCACCAAGGCGACGACCCCUAGCUGGUCUGAGAGGAUGAUCGGCCACAAUGGAAGUGAGACACGGGCCAGAAUCCUACGGAAGGCAGCAGUGGGGAAUAAUGCACAAUGGGGGAGACUCUGAGGCGGCCAUGCCGAGUGUGGGAAGAAGGCCUUCGGGUUGUAAAGCACUUUCAGCGAGGAGGCGUUACGCGCAGGAGGGGCACCGGCUAACUCCGUGCCAGCAGCCGCGGUAAUAC
Molecule: ribosomal RNA, 404 nt
Filed under: uncultured bacterium
Lineage: Bacteria
Description: partial 16S ribosomal RNA
Rfam family: Bacterial small subunit ribosomal RNA
Source: RNAcentral